GACGAACGCUGGCGGCGUGCUUAACACAUGCAAGUCGAACGGAAAGGCCCUGCUUUUGUGGGGUGCUCGAGUGGCGAACGGGUGAGUAACACGUGAGUAACCUGCCCUUGACUUUGGGAUAACUUCAGGAAACUGGGGCUAAUACCGGAUAGGAGCUCCUGCUGCAUGGUGGGGGUGGGAAAGUUUCGGCGGUUGGGGAUGGACUCGCGGCUUAUCAGCUUGGUGGUGGGGUAGUGGCUUACCAAGGCUUUGACGGGUAGCCGGCCUGAGAGGGUGACCGGCCACAUUGGGACUGAGAUACGGCCCAGACUCCUACGGGAGGCAGCAGUGGGGAAUAUUGCACAAUGGGCGGAAGCCUGAUGCAGCAACGCCGCGUGCGGGAUGACGGCCUUCGGGUUGUAAACCGCUUUCGCCUGUGACGAAGCGUGAGUGACGGUAAUGGGUAAAGAAGCACCGGCUAACUACGUG
This 468-nucleotide ribosomal RNA is filed under the name uncultured bacterium. RNAcentral describes it as "partial 16S ribosomal RNA". It matches the Rfam family "Bacterial small subunit ribosomal RNA", at positions 28 to 507 of the family's 1533-position model. The record is from RNAcentral.